Molecule: ribosomal RNA, 496 nt
Filed under: uncultured bacterium
Lineage: Bacteria
Description: partial 16S ribosomal RNA
Rfam family: Bacterial small subunit ribosomal RNA
Source: RNAcentral
AUGAACGCUGGCGGCGUGCCUAAUACCUGCAAGUCGAGCGAACAGAUAAGGAGCUUGCUCCUUUGACGUUAGCGGCGGACGGGUGAGUAACACGUGGGUAACCUACCUAUAAGACUGGGAUAACUUCGGGAAACCGGAGCUAAUACCGGAUAACAUUUGGCACCGCAUGGUUCUAAAGUGAAAGAUGGUUUUGCUAUCACUUAUAGAUGGACCCGCGCCGUAUUAGCUAGUUGGUAAGGUAACGGCUUACCAAGGCAACGAUACGUAGCCGACCUGAGAGGGUGAUCGGCCACACUGGAACUGAGACACGGUCCAGACUCCUACGGGAGGCAGCAGUAGGGAAUCUUCCGCAAUGGGCGAAAGCCUGACGGAGCAACGCCGCGUGAGUGAUGAAGGGUUUCGGCUCGUAAAACUCUGUGAUUAGGGAAGAACAAAUGUGUAAGUAACUGUGCACGUCUUGACGGUACCUAAUCAGAAAGCCACGGCUAACUACGUG